AACAACAGAUCCUCUCAAACUCCUGUAAGAUGUCCUAUUUCUACACCCAUUUCACAGAUGAAGAAACUGAGGCACAGGGGGACUAAUAAACAACCUGCCCAAAGACCCAAACAUGAUUAGGUAAAUAAAGAUCACUCAUGUUCUUGUAAACUGGAUCCAGUUAAUGAUGUCAACUCCUCUCCAAGCCCUCAAGAUGGAAACCAGACCCCCCACCACCACCCUUUUCCUGAACAUCAUUCAGACCCCAACAUAGCUUUUUCCUUUGAAAUCCUUUUCACCCAGGUCUCCUAGCCUCCCACCCAGAUUCCUGCAGCAGUCUCCAGCUGGGUCUCUCCUUUCUGGGAUUUCUAGCCCCUCUGAUCUUUCCUGUAUCCUAGACAAGAACCCAGAUAAAAUGCCGCUGUGUGAGCUCAUUCUGCCGGAAUGUUCCCCAAGGGCAGAUUCCAGUCCUGUUGUUCUCAGUAGUGUGUGACAUGGGCAAAGCACCUGACCUCCCAGGGCAGCUCUUUGCUCAAUUAUAACAGAAGGUUAAUUGCGCCUGCCCCUCCGUGUCGGAUGAGAAUGAUGAGAUAUUAUACAGAACACACAGGUCAGUGCCGGACAUGAAGAAACACCCGAUAAUCUGUUACGUCUUCCCUCCUUUCCUCCUUCACCUUCCUCCUCUCUUCCCUCCUCCUCUCCACGGUCUCAUAGAUGCCGGCCAGCAGAGCCAAUCACUCCCCCUGAAUGCUGUCCUUCAACAUCCCACAUCACCUUCCUGUCCACCCCACUACCACCUCACUCCCACUCAGGUCAGUAAGUUCUCCCAAGCUCUGGACCCUUUUCUGUGACUCUCUGGUCAGCAUUUCCUUUUGCCUUUUCUGAAGGCGCUGACCAUACAGUCCUUGGCUCUGCCUGGUGUUGCACCAAACUGUUUCUUGAUUAUUUCCUAUUGGCUCCAUUCUUUUCAGGGAAAAUCAUGCCAGACUCCACAGAACCAAUGAUUAAUGACAGUGCCUGGGACAGGUUCUUCCCACCCCCCACACACAGCCAGGCUACAGAACCAUUCCAGGAAAACUCACGUUGAGGAGCCAGUGAUCACUGUGCUCAGAAGUUCUAGGAAGCUCCUUAUCAUGAGGAGUCCUUGAAAUACAGGGGAACCAGUCUCACCCCCAGAAAUGGUUAUCAGCAAGUCCAGCCUCAUCGCCCAGUUCUCUCCCCAGGCCGUCUGUCCUGGGGCUCCUUUCUCCUCCCACCCAAAUGGACAAGGGCUGGGUAGUCUGCUUUGUUUGGGACUGUGAUGAUUUUAAAGUUGGAAAUCCCUCAUCACCCCCCUCACUAAGUCUCAGGCAUGCUAGGGAGGCUGGUCCCCGUAUUGACCACUCAGAUAACAGCUUUUUUUUUGAGAGGGUCAAAAAAAAAAAAAA
This 1406-nucleotide long non-coding RNA is filed under the name Capra hircus (goat). RNAcentral describes it as "lncRNA (ENSCHIG00010021947.1)". Lineage: Eukaryota; Metazoa; Chordata; Mammalia; Artiodactyla; Bovidae. The record is from RNAcentral.